GGGUCAGUUGAAGACUGGGGGGGGGAGUGGGAUAAGAAGACAAAUGGACGGCCGGCAGUGGAGUGAUUUCCAAAACCUGAAAGAAAAAUGAUAUGAGAGAAGAACCAAUAUUGUGUUUUGGCCACUUUAUUUGUCCCACAGAGUAGUGUGAGCAUAUAGACGUGUGUGUGUGUGUGUGUGUGUGUGUGUGUGUGUGAGGCUUGUUGCAGAUGUCACCAGUAAUUUAAGGCCCCUUUUUGGUGCAACACCCACUCCUCUCUUGUGAUAAAAUACUGUCUGCAUCACCUGUGAGCCUGUGGUCUUUCCGUGUGAGUGUGCAUGUGUGUGUUGUACUCUAAUUAGCACUUAAACACACAGGAGAGUACUGAAGCCAGACAGCCGAUAAAUCAGACAAAGCUAUGAGAUCGUAACACACUAACAGAAAAUAUCAGCUGCUUUGUGCGGCUCGUACGCACUUGAUAAAUUGACAAUACGCCGGCUGCACGCAGCUGGCUCCUUUCCCGAUUCCAACGCGUUGGAUUGUGGGGACAAUUUUGUGUUUGCACUGCAUCUUUCUUUGUCUCAACUGCAGAGAUGCGAUAAGUAAUGAGACGCCUACCAGGACGGGGCUGUUCUUUUUGUGUUCAUUUGCUAAAACACGCCCGCUGCAUUCCUAUAUGUCUCCCUCCAAUUACCAGCAUUACUCAAAGUCAGAGGCUCCACCGGCACGUUCUUCAUCUUUCACUUUCCUUAUUCAUUCAUUUGAAUAUCCCAAACCCCCGACCGGCGGCGGCGGGCGGCCGGGCGGGCGGGAAGCAGCGCGCUCGCCGACGUUGUGUGGUGGUUUCAGGGCCUCUUUUCUCCCUCCGGCUGUGAGAGUCGGCGUGGCCCGCGUGCUGCUGGAAGCCCCUGCAGGCGUGAAGGAGGCACAUCCAGCAGGGCAGUACAGUCGUCCCCCCCUCCCUCCCCCCCCAGGGGAGUCUGGGGGAAUGAGUCCCGGUGGAGGUUUGUUCAAAUGCUAGAGGGAGUGUUUGCCCCGCGCCAGCCUCGCUCGCACUAAUGGACACGUCUCUGUUAUUGAUGGCAGGACUGCGGGGAAGAAAAAAAACUAUGUGCACAAGCUGUUUUGUGCAUUCGUUACACUUCAGCCACACAAGGUGACGUCCCGUUCGCCCUUGUAGGUGACAUCUUUGUAUUGGAGCAAACACUUGUGCCAUAAAAGAGUUGAAAUCCGAUCCGCCUCAAAGCUGCUCUCGAUGACGUAUUCAACAGGACCGGCUGAAUGUAGGUGAAUAAAAGUGCAGCUUCAGCUGUCAUUUGAAAUGCUGCCAGAUGUUGUCCCUUCUCUGCAUCACACCGCUAAAGAGAGGCCACCACAGCUUCUCUAAUCAAUGGUUUAUAAUGAAUAAGCUUCCGUGUUUCAUCUGGAAAGGGAUGCCGGUAUCGACAAACCCCCCCAUUCAGCUCAUUGUUUUGGUCUGACUCCAUCAAUGUGUCCUGCGAAGACGCCGAGUCCAAACGGCAGAGAGCGCAAGAGCGAGCCGGUCAAAGGUGACCGAUGUCUCCGGCGGGAGCGUCGUCGGGAGGACAGAACGUGACCAUUUGUGUGGUCAGACUCACAUGGAAAGCUGCGCACACACCAAGCGCAUCUAUUGUGAGGAAAGACGUGCAAUCGGCCGCCUCACUUUUAGGUUUUGCAAUGAGUGAGAUGCCGUUUCAGUUGUUUCAGUGCCGUGGAAAUACAGAUGUCGGAGAAGGAAACCCGCCGGGUGAAUGCACACAGCAAUUAAGUAAUAAAAGUGUUUACAGUGGACAUUGAAAGCUGAACACAAGUGACGCUUUUCUCCCCUUUUUAACGUUGUCGGGCUGUUUAUUCUCCCUCUAAGCUGCUGUAAAUGCACGCGUACAGCACCUGCCAUUUACUCUGAACCCCCUCUGUCUCUGCAGUUCCAACUGCUUUCACCUCUCCAGUUUCAGAGUGCUAAAGAAAGCACAGCGAGAACAACGCUGUCUGCUUUUAGCUGUAGGAGACAUUAUGUCACAUGCGUUACACCUACACUGAACUGUUGUGUGCACGCGUCUCCCUCUUUUCUCCUCCCGAGCAAAGAGGCCGAGGACUCGUGGAUGCGGUCGUGGGCCGCGGCGCGAUGCAUAUUCACGGCGGCAGCUCCCCCUCGCUGCUGGCAAGGUUAGCUCUGUUUAUGAAACCGUCAAUUACACAUAUUUAAUUUAGUAAGAGAAAAGAAAGAAAAAAAACGCCGCCACACCGACUGAAUCCAGACCGGGUGUCCCCCUGAGCACCGGGAUAAAUAGAGCGAGGGAAGAGCAGGAGGAGAAAGAGGGAGAAACGGACUUCAUUAAUUCCGUCGUCCAUCUAAUUGGAGCCCUGUUGGAGCCUACGGCUGAAAUGAAGUCCGAAUCUAAUGAGAAAAGAAAAGACACAGGGGGAAAAGUUGGAACUACUAAUAUCUGGAGAACAACCUUGGGCUAAAUCGAGACUUGGUGUACGAUACAAACCCUUGGGACGCCCCCCGACUCCCUCGGUUGGACGCUGAUUAAAAAUUGGACGGUAUUCUUUCUAAAUAAUGAGACUGGAGGCCUACCUGGAUUUUCCAACCCGAACCGAACCGAAAGUUUGCCGAAAAAUCCACAUGGCGCUGUGAUUCACAUCGAGGGGGACGACAAGAGGAGAAGGUUUGGGGCCGAGCGAGUCGGAUGAGAUUCACGUACAGCACGUUUGUUCCGAGCAGAGUAGGACAGCGUGGAGCGAGGUGGAGCGAACCCGCGCUGCGGAGUAGGAGCACAGAUACACCUCCACCAUGCUUGAGGGGUGAUGAGUAGAGAAAAGCAAUAGGACAGUGAGGAGUGUGUGAAGCAGUAGAGUUUAGAGUAGAAUAGUGGAGUACUGACCGGGUACAGCAGAGUACAGCAGAGUACAGCAGAGUACAGUAGAGUAGAGUAUUGUGUAUUUCAGCGCGCUGGAGUAAAGUAUGACAUCAUACACCAGAAUUUAUUGAAUGCCACACGAGGAGCUUCCAGUACCAACAACUGUCAGCAGAUCCCAGAACAGAGGACACGCUGUGCACCGGCUCAGAGGGGACGUCCGCACACACACACACACACACACUGUUCACUGCCAUUCCAACUGCAAUCCAAUUAGGUUUGAUUUCAAUUCGAUUACUGGACAGUGGAGUGGGGAUCCAUUGAAUGAACUUUACUUGGGAAUUCCAUUACUACUGAGAAAGUCAUUCCGGUCCGUAAUGUGGAUGGGAAACGGGUUAGCGGCUGGUAUCAAGCCUCCCUGCGUGACGUCGAAAGCCUGCCGCCGUCACACGGAGACAUCAUUAAGGCUCAACAGAAAAGGGAGCGGAGCCUCACGCAGGAAGACAUCUGCUACACGAGAGACCACAGACAGCAAACUGUCAAAGACUAUCUGUUCCCACAACCGCGCGCGUGUGUGUGCGCGCACGUGCAGUUCUGCACAUGUGUUUGCAGCCUUGACUGCAAGAACAACAGAUAAGCAUUAACCAUGUGCAGCCAUAAAGUACCAGCAUCAGGAGAUAAGAAGCCCACUUCAGCGUGGGCCUGAAGUGACGGAGACACAACUCUUGUUAAACCCAAAUGAACAUUUGUUUCCGUCAAUCACUUCCAUGGCGGUAAAACACACGCUUUCCAAUGCAGUCGAUUGACACCUUAAGACGAGGUGUUGACAUGCAUGAGGCAAAUAAAUCCAAGCUAAAAAUCCGGAUUAAUUCAUUAUCUUUUCGGGAAAGAUACAGAUUGUCGCACGGAGGUGAUUCCCAGACGCAGAGGAGGAGACCUCCUGUCACGGAUGCGAGCGGCUGUUGAUCUCAGACGUCGCUCCUCUCACUUUUUUAAUAUCACGCUUUUAAAAAAAGGAGAGGAUGUUGUUUUGUGCGGCAAACCCCGCCUUCGUCCUCCCCCCCCGAAUGCGUCUCUUCUCCCCACCCAUCGAGAGCCCUUACAUUUGAGUUUAUCCAUUACCCGUAUCCAUCAGCAUCAAUCACUCAGCCCGUAACCGCUCCCCGUCUACAGCACACACACACACACACACACACACACACGCCGCUGCCGGCGAGUAGACGCUCGCUGUGGUUUUUACAGGCCGCUGACACCUCUGCGCCGGCUCUAUUGAUUUUGUUGUCUUAUCCUAAUGAGCCUGGCGUCAACCAUCACCGCUCGGCCCGGGAGCACUGAAUUAAGGAGGGACGGCGAGCAUCACCUUGCCACCGGGCGCAUAUCAGCGACAGCUUCCUGAACACCAUCGGCGGCGGUAAAAAAAAGGAGCGGGCUGCUUGUCUGCUGGAGGUGCGUGACGUCGGUGCUGUGGGAUAAGUGCAGCCCGACCUGAUUUCAGGCCCCUCUCUCAGCGGCUGGCUCCUGACCCCUGCGGGGUCUUCCCUUUAACGCCCCUCGCUCCUCGCGCCGUGAAAGUGCUUUCAGGUCGCGUGUGCGUGUGUGUGUGUGUGCAGGUCGGAGCGUGUGCGCCGCGCCAUCUCGGGUGCAGGUGCUGACGAGAAAGCGGUGAUGGGGAUGUUAGAAGGCGGCUCGCACCCAUUACUUACUUACACCUUUUCGGAGUACCGGGCUGGAGAUGAAACACUUCUCCUUCUCCUCCGUGCAUCCGUUCAACCGCCGAGCCGUUAUGGAGGCUGUCGCCUCCCCCCCCCCCCCACUCCCUCUCACUCCGAAUGGUGUUUUGAUGUUGCUCCUCCAUCCUCGCAUCACUCGCAGUGGAAUCAUCUGUGUCGGGCGAAGGAAACAGUCCUCCCAGCUGAGAGUUUUGAUUCAGGAAUCACCUCGACCAUGAGAAGGCUUUCGCGUGUCGAUGUCGGACAAAGCGUUGGCGUUUGACGCCCUCGGAAGUCACAUUUUCCGCGCUGUUUAAAUCACUAUUACGUUUAAUGCGACAUAAAAUCCACAUCCUGCAUCUCAUGUUCCAACUGAACAUCCUAUCUGCUGCUUCGCUGUGAUGUGUAAAUCGCUAAUCACACGCAUUGUACAUCACACAUCAUCCCAUUGCCUUGCAUCUUAAAUCACCAGCUCCACCGUAGAUCUUAUCCUGUUACACGUGUCCCACACAGAUCUUCUUAUAUAUCUUCAUCUAAAUCUAUGUCCAUAUAAUCCAUUCUGCGCCCCUCAUCCCAAGCUGCUUGAGCCUACAUCGCCGACUGAAUAACAUGCUAAAAAAGAACAAAUCCUGGAUGAGGACAGACUGCGUGUGGUGGUUGAAACCCAAAAGACCCCAAAAGACCCCGUCUUCAGGGGGCACUUUGGUGAAAACGACCGGCAUGAUCCUAUUAAACCGACUGUCGCCGCUGUUUACCGCCGUUAAAGAGGAUAAGCUACUUAUGGAGUGAUGAAAAAUGAAGUGAAGCUCUGUUGUGAGAGUAUCUCUCAAUGUCACUCACCACACUUAACUGUUCAUGGAUGCUACGCCAACACACGGCAACACACGCCAACACACGCCAACACGCACCAACACACGCCAAAUACUAAAGUCUACAGUGUGUAUGAAAAGGAUUAUGCGCCGGCUGCGCUGUCAUGUGACAGUUUCGGUGACUCUCCCGUGUCAUUAGCGGGCCCCCGAGGCGAACACACACAUUCAAAGAACACAAAUGCGAGCUGCACAAACACUUAUGCACACACACACACACACACACACACACACACACACACACACACUCGCACCAAAGAAAGUCAGCAGGCCUUGGGAGCCGUGCCCUGACCUCUGGUUCCCAGUCAAAGGGGUGCUGUUCACCACCACACAACAGCACCACUGAUCCCCUGUGUUCCUCUUGUAAAUUUUGCUCUUUCUCCUCGGGGCUCAGAAGAGUCCUGUGGUGUUCUGUGAAAAGAAGGAGGGGGAGGAGAGAGGAGGAGGAGGAGGAGGAGGAGCAAGAGAGCAGAGAUAUGAAGCCACUGUCUGUGUGCGCCGUGUCUGCAUAAAGGCCGGGAUUGUGCGUGUGCAUCUCUGUGAGUGUGGGUGUGUGUCUCUAUACGUACAUGUGCGUAUAAAAAGAGCAAAGAACAGGGGACUUUAGUGUGGGAUGAAACAUAGCCCAAUGUUGCAGGCCAAAUAAGAUUAACUGGUCUAAUGGACACACUUAUUUUCAUUAUUCUGCAUCGUUGCUGCAGCCCGGAGGGAACAGGCUCGCCACUACAACGGUGCCCUCAUAAAGGAGUCUUCACCCCGUCCACUCCUAAUUUCCAAGAAUUCAUUCAUCCUCCCAUUGUGCCACAUUAAAAAUGGUACCUCAGCCAGAUUUUCCAUCUGUCUCGGUAAUUCAUUCAUUUAAACUGCGCACAGAAGCUACUUAUGUGGUCCGGGGGUCAGCGCGGUUCGCUGGGAUGUGUCCAUGAAAUUCAGUACAAUCCGCUUCCUUGAUACGGAUCGGAAUGCAGAUCAGUGCAGUCCAGUUUAUGGGUACAAAUAAAACCGAGGGAGGAGGGAGGAGCCACUCGCGCCCCCCCCCCCCCGUCUCUGAUCUAGCCCUCAUUAACACAGGCGUACAUAUGUAAAUGAGAGGAGACAGCAUGGAACAUACAAGCCUAUUACACAAUUAACGUGACUGCUUGAUUAAGUAAUAGAGAGAGUCAUUUAGCGAGUAAUUAUCUUCACCGCCUCCACGUUCACUUAUGUCUUUCUUUUUAUCUGCUCUAAACCCUCAGAAAUCUCCAGUUUCGACCUCGACCCGAACGCAAAGCCACAGAUCCCGAUGUUACAUAUCUAGCCCAGAUGAAACGCGUGAUGCAACGUCGCUGAGGUCAACAACGUUCCUCUAAAGUUACACCUGAUCCCCCUCCUCCUCCUCCUUUUGAUUACCCAAGAGCCGGAUACCAUCUAAAUCUGCCCAACGAUGAUGAUGAAGCGGGGUGGAGACAGUGUGACGGUGAGCUGGAUCGCCGGACUGACGCGAUUACAGCGGGCGGGCCCUCCGGGGACCCGCAUCUGGAUUUAGAUUAAACCACGCUCGUCAAACGCAAAGCACCACAUCUUUAAUGCGGCCGUAUAUCAGCCGGCGUAUAAAAAUCUGAGGUUCCAUCAAGUCCAUGUUGGGGAGGAGAGGCGGGGGGAGUUGAUUAAAUGAAGAAAGGGGGGGGGGGGAAAUGUGUGUACACGGGGUCGAUCAGAGCGAGAAGGUGAAACGAAGCAAAUGCAUUGACAUUGAAAAAAAAAAGGUCGACACGACGGCAACUGAGAAAAAUGGACUUGAAAAAGUUCACCUGUGAAAUUGUGAAUGUGGCUCCUAAAGGUGCGUAAUCAGCAGGGUUGGUUGUCCCAAAACGCACAAAAGGAAGAAGAGAACUGCCAGUGUGUGGUCACAUAGAGCGGAUAGUCACUUCUUAUUUAAACGCUUGUGUUAAACAGGUUUUAAGUGACUUUUGAUCAUUUGCGCCGUCUUUUAGGCCGACACAAGCAGGAUAGAGUCCGUCGUAAAUCAACUUUUUCCUCCUUAUACGAGGAGGAAUCAUGUUUGACGCUUUGUUAGAGAUUUUCGGCGCCAAAUGGAAACUCUGCAGCUCCCUGAAGUUCAGCCCGCAUGUUAAAUAAGCGGCUGCACCAGGUGGCUUCCGCACAUCCAUCAAACGGCGCGAUCAUCUGACGCCGAGCGAGCCUGGCGGGGGGGGGGGAAACGGACGGCACGUUGCUUUUCCUCGACGCGACACGAAAAGAGCGAGAUGGAUGACGAUCACAUGAACACGUUCUUUCGCCUGCAACACAUCGGCAGCGGCGUCCACGGCGGGGAGCGACUGGGGUCUGCGUGAGACAUUCUGUCCGUCGCUAAAGAGCACAGGACGGAGGGAACCACGCGGGACAUCCAGCGCCGCACCACCGCACGUGCUUUGGACACCACCUGCACUGAGGGCCGGAGAGGCGCCGCUCCACAUCCGUCUUCCUCUGUAGCUCGUUGCUCUCUCAAGGAAAAAAAAAAGAGCCUGUCGGGCAAUCAAUAUAGCGAUGAGGGCUGUUGUUUUGAGGCCUGAUAUACUAUGUGCACGCCGACACAAGAGUAAUGACUGCCAUCCACGGCCACUGUAACACUCAUGAAUUAUACUCCAGGUGUCCUUGUGGAGGACCGUCGUCCACCGUCAACCUACACCCUUUUCGGCGUGUAUGAAAUAAGAGAAUGACUGUCAGUUUAAACGUAUUGAUGGAAGAAAUAAUCUAAAGGCUUGGUACUGGGUUAUUGAUCCUGCCUACAACCUUGUUGGCCACUUCAGUACUGGUAAUCGGUAACCAGUAUCCCCCCCCCACCUCCGGGCCCAGCCUCAUGUCAGACUCCCUCACGAGAGCAGAGCAAGUGAAAUAAUUGUGCGUUUGGCUGCAAUUUACUCGUCUUUAAGGAGGUUUGGGAACCUCAACGUUGUUCACUGUUUUUUGCUCUGGGAAGUUUAUUUAUGAAAGGAACCGUCCGUUGAUUCAUAGACGUCUGUUUCCCAGGGAGAGUUUAUGGGAAGUCUUCUGUUUUCAGGCUUUUGUUGUAGCUUCUGGAGGUGUAACUCACUAGUUAGACUUGAAGACACGAAUCACCUCAGAAUGAGUGAGUGAAAAGAGUGAUGCUGUUCUUUUUCAAGCCCGAAUCUCGGUCGCCUUUCAGCCGUGCUGAAAAUAACUGAGACACAGACUUAUGUACCAACCCAAAGUGAACUUCACCCACUGCAGAAUCACUCCACGUUAAUUCAGAUUACUCGAUAUCAUCCAGCAUUUUGAUUAUCUUCAAACAAAUGUGGGAGGAAAUGUGUGGAGAGGAGACCGAAAUAUAUGCCGUGACUAAGACAAGAGCUUCAGGGAAGCUGAAAACAAUCAAUGUCCCUUAGUUCAGAUAAAAACAACAAAAUGAGAAUAUCUGCAGAUUCUUUAUUGAAACAGUGACCAGAGACUGUUGUUGUGUCUGGAAUCAUUUGGCUUGUGGCAUUGAAAACCUGCACAUUGCUUAAAUGAAUUUGUGAAGCCCCAGUAGAUGCGAGGACGGCGCUCCGUGGAGAUGGGGAGGUGAUGCACGCACGCACACACACACACACACACACGUCAGAAAUGCCCACACGCCUCUUCAUAGAGCGCAGCGACAGUCAUUAGAAGAUGUAAUGGAUUAGCCGCGGAUAGAGUGAAGGGAGACGGAGGGAAGAGGGAAGAGGAGACGAACCCAGAUGGAAAUGAUGGAGAUUGGCAGAUGGGUAAAAUGGAUUUGAUCGACCGCUCUACGGAUGGGAAGGCAGGACGCGCAGCCGACGCCUACCGCGGCGGCGAGCGGCAAUGGAAGCUGAUUACAGAAAAAAUUCACAAGGGUUCUCUCAUUCCAGAGGCAACUGCUCAAAGACGUGGCAGUAAUGAGACUCGGCGAGGAUCAGGACUGACUCAGACUCAGACUGAUUGACGCCCGGCGUUUCAAAUGCAGGAGGAGGAAAAAAUCAGCAGAGACGAGAAAAAGGAGACAAUAAAAAAGAGAGACCCGACUGACGGGAAUUGCGGUCGUCCGUAGGAGUCGUGGAGCUGCUCUGUCGUGUUUUCGCCGCGCCUCGCCGGCUCGUGUUCAUCUGAGGCAGCAGAGGAGCUGCAGGAGACAAACAGGAUGUCUGAGGGAGGACGAGUGUGCGUGCGUGUGUGUGUGUGUGUGUUUAUCCCAGGAAGGACUUCCUCUGAAUCCGAGCUGCUUGGGAGUUCUGUGGGAGUUCGCUGACACGGGGAAAAGGCAGAGGAAGAGGGGGAGAGAGAGAGAGAGAGAGGGAGAGAGGGGGGGAUCAAGGGCAGUUGCUCUAUUGAAUCCCACUUCUAAAAGAACACACACACACACACACACACACACACACACCACCUACGGGGGGGAGGCGGUGAUGACAGCGUCAUUGGGAGCCGGUGGUGAUGAACGUAGGCCCGCCUCACACUUCGCUUCGCCUCGACCGAAGCUGCUCCAGACCUCCGAGGGGUCAAACGGGGGGUCGCAGCACAGCACGAUGCUUCGAGCCUCAAACCUAAGAGUGGGAUUAGGAGGAAAUCAAUAAAAAAAAACUAACGCUGCGCCCCCCCCCUCCAGCAUGCAGGGGAUGGAAACGUCUCCAGUGGUACUCGAAUGGAAUACUGAAUAACUGUGGCUACACGCACCAACGUUCCCUUUAAGAUGGAUUCAAAACGACUUUUCAUGCAGAAAUAUCGCUUGGUCAAAAUAAAAUGUUUCGCUGAUUGAUACUUACUUACAUACUGUAAUGUAAUUUGUGCCUCAUCUUUGACUGAAACUGAUUAAAAAGAGUUUGUCGGGGUGCCCGAGAGUUCACGCCCGUGUGUCGUAUCCUGCAUCUUUAUUCUGUGCAGUGACAGAAAUCUCAUUUGAAUGCCGCGUGUCGUUUGUUUUCGGGCUCGAGUGAGUUCCGUCUGGCCAAAGAACGCAGCCCGCGGCCCUUCAGCGGUGCCUCGCAGUGGGCUGGAGCUCAACCUCUGCGGCUCGACUUGGACGGUGCUUUUUAUUUUCCGUAAUUAUUCCUCUUUGAUGGCGCGAUAUUAAAACGAAGCGAUCUCAGAAGGGAACGUCCCUCUGAAAUCGCUUUUUCUUGCACCUCAAAGGCUUGAACCUGGGAGGUUGGAGGCUACAAUCAGCGGCCUGCAUCUCGAGUGUGUCCCACAUCUAAUUUGAUGCAGAUGAAAAGAACGGGAAAAGCGCGGGGAAGCUCGCGCAGGUUUAUCCUCCCUUUUACUCCUCGGGCUGCAACCCGACCGAUGAAUAAUGUUCUCAGAUGUGCUGUGUGGAACGUACCGCUUCUUCCCCUCGGAGUCCUCGGAGGUUACGCAACCGGCGGAACCCGCGGCCGGUCCUCUAAUUAGACACGGGCCAAAGUUUGGCCUGUAAAACGCUGCGUAAUGUGCGUUUCAACGCCCCCUCCCCACGGACGCCGCCUCCCCCAUUUCCUCGCGGUCACGUGUCGGGCAGAGCUGUGGAUCCCACACGCACCCCGUCAUACGUGUGCUUACUCAUCACGCCACAUCAGAGAGGACUCGUGCACGAUGCGCCUGCCUGCCAGUUAAAUGUGGGGAGGCCGCGGCGAGGAGACCAAAGGGAGCGGAGAGCGAACCCGAAACCCUCCCACCCCCCUCACCCGAACCCAGCCUCCCGA
Gasterosteus aculeatus aculeatus (three-spined stickleback) is the source of this 11109-nucleotide long non-coding RNA. The record is from Ensembl. NCBI's taxonomy places the organism in Eukaryota, Metazoa, Chordata, Actinopteri, Perciformes, Gasterosteidae.